This is an RNA transcript of Mandrillus leucophaeus (drill), 1754 nucleotides long. It is a transcript of the gene named protein FAM35A pseudogene, with no coding region annotated. Lineage: Eukaryota; Metazoa; Chordata; Mammalia; Primates; Cercopithecidae. The record is from RefSeq and is a predicted model, not a curated record. The transcript is spliced from 2 exons.
AUGAUCAAGGUGUCCCAGAGGAAAAGUCAACUCAGUGAAGGAGGUGAUUCAAGUAAGAGAUUUAGUGGAACAGUUCACGAAAGAAGGGCAGUAUACAGUUAUAGAGGACAGAAGCAGAAAAAAGUUAUGUUAACAGUGGAACAGGCCCAAGAUCAACAUUAUGUGCUUGUAUUAUGGGGUCCUGGAGCAGCCUGGUACCCUCAACUUCAAAGGAAAAAAGGUUAUAUUAGGGAAUUUAAAUAUCUUUUUGUUCAGCGCAAUUACACACUAGAAAACCUAGAAUUGCAUACAAUGCCUUGAUCAUCCCAUGAGUGCUUGUUUGAUGAUGAUAAAAGGGCAAUUACAUUUAAAGCAAAAUUUCAAAAAAGUACACCCUCCUUUGUGAAGAUAUCAGACUUAGCAACCCACCUAGAGGAUAAGUGUUCAGGAGUGAUACUACGUAAAGCCCAGAUUUCAGAGCUGGCAUUUCCUAUUACAGCAACUCAGAAGAUAGCUCUAAAUGCUCACAGUUCUCUGAAGAGUAUUUUUCUCUUCUCUUCCCAACAUCGUAUAUACUGGCUGUGCAAAAUGUGGAUUGGAACUAGAAACAGAUGAGAACAGGAUCUAUAAACAGUGUUUUAGCUGCUUGCCAUUUACUAUGAAGAAAAUAUACUAUAGGCCAGCCUUAAUGACUGUAGUUGAUGGAAGACAUGAUGUUUGCAUCCGUGUAGAAUCAAAGCUGAUGGAGAAGAUUCUUCUCAACUUUUCUGCAGACUGCCUCAACAGAGUGAUAGUUCCUUCCUCAGAGAUCACCUAUGGGAUGGUCGUGGCAGACCUGUUCCACUCUUUGUUGGCAGUCAGUGUAGAACCUUGUGUAUUGAAGAUUCAGAGCCUUUUUGUGUUAGAUGAAAAGAGCUAUCCAUUACAACAAGAUUUCUCCCUCCUGGAUUUUUAUCCUGACAUUGUAAAGCAUGGAGCCGAUGCCCUUCUCUGAGGCCAGAGGAAGAAAGUGCAGACAUUUCAAGGAAGAAGUACUGAAAUGAUUUGUCUUUUGAAAUAAAUGAAUGACAGGACUUUUGCUUUGGAUUUUUUAUUAAAUAUAUUUUACAAAGAGAAUUGCAGUAGAUAUAUAAAUUAAAACUUUUUUCUAAGAAAAUCCUGUGAGGCUUAAAAAGAUUGUUUUUGUUUUUUUGGUUUCUUCCUUUCUUCUGGAGAAAUGAUCUACCAGUCAAGGCAGUAUGUAGCCGAUCCCUGGGAAUUAAAGGUUUGCCCAUUUAUUCACUGUGUUUAGUCCCUGCUACAUUCCAGGCAUUGUACUAAGUAUGGGGAACUACAUGGAAGACAUUCCCUCAGAAACUGCUGCAGUGCUUUUGCUUAUCCCUACCUAAAAAACCUUCAAUGUGAAAUCAUUUCCUUGGUUAUAACUAUACAUGAUAAUGGAUUAGUUUAUAUAAACCUAUGUUUAGGCAAGUUCAAAACAAGCGUGUCUUUCUAUAAAAAGCAUUGAAAAUGAAGGAAAUGAGAUCAUGUUUCAAUUUAUUAAAGCGAGGAAGAGCAUUCUGUGCUUAGUUCGUGUCUAGGAUUUGAGUGCCUUACUGAAUGUAUUUACCAGCAAACAUGUAGCAAUCGUUUCUCUCAUUGUGAUUGUAGAAGCUCAUGUAAAAUGGUAGUCAUUAAUAAGGAAGUAUGGAGUGGUACUUAUUCUGUAAGUUCAGAGUAUGCCAAGUGUUAAUAUAUUAUCAUAUUGCCUGAAAAUAAAUUUAUGAUGACAUUAA